ACCAUGCAGUCGAGCGGUAAGGCCCUUCGGGGUACACGAGCGGCGAACGGGUGAGUAACACGUGAGCAACCUGCCCCUGACUCCGGGAUAAGCGGUGGAAACGCCGUCUAAUACCGGAUACGACCCUCCGCCUCAUGGUGGUGGGUGGAAAGUUUUUCGGUCGGGGAUGGGCUCGCGGCCUAUCAGCUUGUUGGUGGGGUAACGGCCUACCAAGGCGAUUACGGGUAGCCGGCCUGAGAGGGCGACCGGCCACACUGGGACUGAGACACGGCCCAGACUCCUGCGGGAGGCAGCAGUGGGGAAUAUUGCGCAAUGGGCGAAAGCCUGACGCAGCGACGCCGCGUGGGGGAUGACGGCCUUCGGGUUGUAAACCUCUUUUACCACUCACGCAGGCUCCACGUUUUCGUGGGGUUGACGGUAGGUGGGGAAUAAGGACCGGCUAACUACGUGCCAGCAGCCGCGGUAAUACGUAGGGUCCGAGCGUUGUCCGGAAUUAUUGGGCGUAAAGAGCUCGUAGGCGGCGUGUCGCGUCUGCUGUGAAAGACCGGGGCUUAACCCCGGUUCUGCAGUGGAUACGGGCAUGCUAGAGGUAGGUAGGGGAGACUGGAAUUCCUGGUGUAGCGGUGAAAUGCGCAGAUAUCAGGAGGAACACCGGUGGCGAAGGCGGGUCUCUGGGCCUUACCUGACGCUGAGGAGCGAAAGCAUGGGGAGCGAACAGGAUUAGAUACCCUGGUAGUCCAUGCCGUAAACGUUGGGCGCUAGGUGUGGGGACUUUCCACGGUUUCCGCGCCGUAGCUAACGCAUUAAGCGCCCCGCCUGGGGAGUACGGCCGCAAGGCUAAAACUCAAAGGAAUUGACGGGGGCCCGCACAAGCGGC
RNAcentral lists this ribosomal RNA (877 nucleotides) under Nocardiopsis sp. RNAcentral's name for it is "bacterial SSU rRNA". It matches the Rfam family "Bacterial small subunit ribosomal RNA", at positions 53 to 933 of the family's 1533-position model. Lineage: Bacteria; Bacillati; Actinomycetota; Actinomycetes; Streptosporangiales; Nocardiopsidaceae. The record is from RNAcentral.